This 477-nucleotide long non-coding RNA is filed under the name Physcomitrium patens. RNAcentral's name for it is "long non-coding RNA (PPAT_LNC007588)". Lineage: Eukaryota; Viridiplantae; Streptophyta; Bryopsida; Funariales; Funariaceae. The record is from RNAcentral.
GAAUCGAUCUCACUGCAGCUUCAGGAUCCUGCCUUCACCAAGGUUCAUGGAGGACACGGUCUCUUGUUGUCAUCGUCAUGAGGAGGCUUGUGAGGUGGCUUUUCGUCAUCGUGAGGAGGCUUAUGAGGAGGCUUUUCGUCAUCGUGAGGAGGCUUGUGAGGAGGCUUUUCGUCAUCGUGAGGAGGCUUGUGAGGAGGUUUUUCGCCAUCGUGAGGAGGCUUUUCUUCAUCGUGAGGAGGUUUGUGUGGAGGCUUAUCACCACCAAGAGAAGACUUGUGAGGAUGCUUGUCACAGUGGUAGAAUUCCAUGUCGGGUUCAGAAGGCUUCGCCCACUUCUCAUACGCUUCCACCAGCGUUCGCCCUUCUACCGCUCCACCGUCUCUGGCGAAGUUCGUAACUGCCAACACCAGAGCCACUGCAAUGGCCAGGGCUUGAUCAACUUUCACCACCGCCAUGCCUGACCGACUGAUAGGUUCC